GGGGUGGUGGCGCAGUUGGCUAGCGCGUAGGUCUCAUAGCUGGGACCUGGGAGUGAUCCUGAGGUCGAGAGUUCGAGCCUCUCUCACCCUA
RNAcentral lists this transfer RNA (91 nucleotides) under Triticum aestivum (bread wheat). It matches the Rfam family "tRNA". From Rfam's summary of the family: Transfer RNA (tRNA) molecules are approximately 80 nucleotides in length. Their secondary structure includes four short double-helical elements and three loops (D, anti-codon, and T loops). The record is from Rfam by way of RNAcentral. Lineage: Eukaryota; Viridiplantae; Streptophyta; Magnoliopsida; Poales; Poaceae.